Molecule: long non-coding RNA, 669 nt
Organism: Oryza brachyantha (malo sina)
Lineage: Eukaryota; Viridiplantae; Streptophyta; Magnoliopsida; Poales; Poaceae
Exons: 3
Source: RefSeq, a predicted model, not a curated record
UUGUACAUAGGAUUGACUUAAAUCGAUUUUUCACCAUGAGAUGUAGAUAUCCAAUGACCCAAAUUGAUCAGAAAUCUCUCUCCUUGCAAUCCUACGCAUGAUGCAUCCUCUAACCACGCCCUCCACGCCAUUAACUAAUCCUUCUCUCUGGAGGAUGUCGUCUCUUCCCCAUCGUCGGUCGCCCCCACGCCUCUGCCCGCCGCUUGCCUCCCCCACACCGAUGCCCACCGCCGGCCACACCGAUGCUCCCGGCCAUCGUCGGCUCCCGCCCCCACGCCGUCGGCCGCACCCACGCUCCCAUCCGCAGCCGGCUCCCGCCCCCACGCCGCUGGCCGCCCCCAAAACGAUGCCCGCUGCCGGGGUAAGGAAGCCUACGGCUAUUUGGUUUUAGAGUGCCUCACAAACAACACGCUACUAUCAACGUAAUACUGCACGAUAUCCAACAUAAUGAAUUCAAUGUUUUUGUGCUCAAUAAGAAAUUGGGAGUUAAAAUCACCAUCAAUGGACUGCUAAUUGGGUUUUCAAUAUAAUGGUUAGAGUCGCUCACAAGAAAAUAUACCAUUGUAUUGUUAAUAAAGAUGUCUCCUUUUCUUGUCAUAGUAUUUGAUUUAUUUUAUACACUUGUUUUCCUUCAUCUGAGGUGUCUUUUGUAUUAUAUUAUACAUUGAU